Small nucleolar RNA from Psammomys obesus (fat sand rat), 146 nucleotides. RefSeq annotates it as small nucleolar RNA SNORA48. NCBI's taxonomy places the organism in Eukaryota, Metazoa, Chordata, Mammalia, Rodentia, Muridae. The record is from RefSeq and is a predicted model, not a curated record. The transcript has a single exon.
AACCCCUGGCAGUAGGCAAAAAGACACCUUGUUAGGUGGUGGUGUUUAUAUAUCAGUCAGGGGCAGAGCAGAUGGCAGGCCUUUGCUCAUCCUAGCUUGAUGGCCUGGCUUGGUGGCCAAAGCUGCUUUAUGCCUAGGACUCAUAG